RNAcentral lists this ribosomal RNA (468 nucleotides) under uncultured bacterium. Its description in RNAcentral is "partial 16S ribosomal RNA". It matches the Rfam family "Bacterial small subunit ribosomal RNA", at positions 28 to 507 of the family's 1533-position model. The record is from RNAcentral.
GACGAACGCUGGCGGCGUGCUUAACACAUGCCAGUCGAACGGAAAGGCCCUGCUUUUGUGGGGUGCUCGAGUGGCGAACGGGUGAGUAACACGUGAGUAACCUGCCCUUGACUUUGGGAUUACUUCAGGAAACUGGGGCUAAUACCGGAUAGGAGCUCCUGCUGCAUGGUGGGGGUUGGAAAGUUUCGGCGGUUGGGGAUGGACUCGCGGCUUAUCAGCUUGUUGGUGGGGUAGUGGCUGACCAAGGCUUUGACGGGUAGCCGGCCUGAGAGGGUGACCGGCCACAUUGGGACUGAGAUACGGCCCAGACUCCUACGGGAGGCAGCAGUGGGGAAUAUUGCACAAUGGGCGGAAGCCUGAUGCAGCAACGCCGCGUGCGGGAUGACGGCCUUCGGGUUGUAAACCGCUUUCGCCUGUGACGAAGCGUGAGUGACGGUAAUGGGUAAAGAAGCACCGGCUAACUACGUG